This 253-nucleotide ribosomal RNA is filed under the name uncultured bacterium. RNAcentral's name for it is "partial 16S ribosomal RNA". It matches the Rfam family "Bacterial small subunit ribosomal RNA", at positions 524 to 776 of the family's 1533-position model. The record is from RNAcentral.
UACAGAGGUCCCAAGCGUUGUUCGGAUUCACUGGGCGUAAAGGGUGCGUAGGCGGUGGGAUAAGUCUGGUGUGAAAGCUCGGAGCUCAACUCCGAAAUUGCAUUGGAAACUAUCUCGCUAGAGGAUUGGAGGGGAGACUGGAAUUCUCAGUGUAGCAGUGAAAUGCGUAGAUAUUGAGAGGAACACCAGUGGCGAAGGCGAGUCUCUGGACAAUUCCUGACGCUGAGGCACGAAAGCCGGGGGAGCAAACAGG